Molecule: ribosomal RNA, 469 nt
Filed under: uncultured bacterium
Lineage: Bacteria
Description: partial 16S ribosomal RNA
Rfam family: Bacterial small subunit ribosomal RNA
Source: RNAcentral
GACGAACGCUGGCGGCGUGCUUAACACAUGCGAGUCGAACGGAAAGGCCCUGCUUGCAGGGUGCUCGAGUGGCGAACGGGUGAGUAACACGUGGGUGAUCUGCCCCUUACUUUGGGAUAAGCCUGGGAAACUGGGUCUAAUACUGGAUAGGACCAUGCUGUAGGUGGUGUGGUGGAAAGAUUAGUUUCGGUAAGGGAUGAGCUCGCGGCCUAUCAGCUUGUUGGUGGGGUAAUGGCCUACCAAGGCGUCGACGGGUAGCCGGCCUGAGAGGGUGGACGGCCACAUUGGGACUGAGAUACGGCCCAGACUCCUACGGGAGGCAGCAGUGGGGAAUAGUGCACAAUGGGCGCAAGCCUGAUGCAGCGACGCCGCGUGGGGGAUGACGGCCUUCGGGUUGUAAACUCCUUUCAGCCAUGACGAAGCCCUUGUGGUGACGGUAGUGGUAGAAGAAGCACCGGCUAACUACGUG